AUUGCUGCCAAAGUGCAGAUUAUGCACUGAGUACCGUUACCAAUACAGGGGGGUACCGGUACGCAGUCUCGUGGACUGUAUUGUAAAGCUGAAUUACAGCUUGUGUUAGGGGGUUAAGUGCAAUUGCUUCGGUCUUAUCUUUAAACCCCAGCCUAUGUAUGUGGUUCUCAUGCAGGAAACACUCUCUCCUCUCAUUUUUCUUAUCUCUUUCUUCUCUCUCUCUCUAAUGGAACCGUAGGAAGUAGAGGGUGAUGGAGAAGUGAUGGAUUGGUGUUUGAGCUGAGAAAAAACUUCAGCAGUAGGGAGAAAGCUUGGUGGAGAGUGAAUCCUGGGGUGAGAUAGUUAUAUCUCUAUGAUAGGAAGUAUGUUAUUUAUGUUAUAAGAGCUUAAGCUUUAGGUUCUUGGCUGUUUAAAGUGGUAGCUGCCCUAGAAACCUAAAGAAAAAGCUAUGUGGGUGAUGGAUAUUUGUUGGCAAUUGGGAAAUAACUUAUUGGAGCUUCAAACCUGAGAACCUAGAGAAAAGCUGUGUGUGAUGUAUUAUAUGUGAGUACUUGGCUGUGAGGGAGUUUAAAAACUAAGUAACCGGUUGAAACUCGAGAACUUGAGAAAGGUUAGUAUGUUAUUUAACAGGGAUUGAGGUUCGCAGCAGGGAAUUUGACUCCUUUGGGCUGAAAUUUGUAGUCAUCGAAGGUUAGAGGUGGUGUGCUAUAACCUGAAGUGAAGUGGAGAUUUGAUUUUGAUUCAAUCCUAGGUGAGAUUUAUACCUAAACCAAGUGAUUAUGGGAGUUUUGAUGUAAAGGGUUGAACUACGCUCCUAGUUGAUUUUAGAAUGUUUACUAGAGUACCUGGAGGCUUCAGAUUACCUUCAGCUGCGGGAUCAAUGAAAAUCAUCGACUGAUUGGUGGAUUCGACCUUUCUGAAAUGGGUGAAUUCCCUCUAUGUCUUCUUUAGCAUUAUGGAAUUGAAAUUGUUGCAUAUUCACGUGAAUACAUGUUUAUUUGAAUGAAUUUGGGCAUGCAUCAAGAUGCAUAAAUUUGCAUAAAAGGAAACCUCUAUGCAGUAGGGGAGAAUUAUGAAAUGGCUUCGUAUACCUAGAUCAUUUGCUUGUUGAACCUGCAUUACCUGAUAUUAGUAUACUUUUGUAGGCAAGUUAAGUAGGACAUCAUUUACGAAUGAAUGGAUAUAAAGUUGUGAAUACGACACUUAGUUUAGAUGUAUAACCAAGUGAAUGAGAUAUUAUAUGUUUUACUUUUGAGUUAAAUCAUACAAUUUCAUGUUAUAGACAAGAUACUAGAACUCUUGGUAUAUCAUGUAUAGGGAGGGUACUUAUACAUUUAUAUGGAAAUCAGAUAAAGAGUAUCAUAGAUGAUGUUUUGCAUACUUAUGUUGACAAGUUGGUUAUUGUUUUUAUCGAAUAGAAUUAGUGUGAACCUUGUAUUUUGUACAUGUUCUAGUUAAGUAACUAGAAUUGGGUUAUAUAACACAACAUGAAUAUUAUGCUAUUAAAUAUAUCAUCUAGUAAAUGACUAGAAUUGGACAUGAUGACACACUUGUACAGGCAAGUAAAAGUACUUGCAUAAUACUUGUUUACUAGGUAGUGGAGGUUUGUAUAGAACUAUAGAAUAUAUGUUAUGAGUCGCAUGAACACUACAAUGAGUCAUUGAGUAUGACCUUAGUAAGUCACUUUUCUUAUGUAUAUAGGGAGUAGUGAGAGAACCAUAUGUGAAUAUACGGGUAUAACCACUAGAAUCAUCAAUAUGAUGUAAAGCACAUACUUAUAUGAGUCAUACAAUCUGUUGGUAGAAACAUAUUAUCAAGUAGUUGAUAGUGGAUUAUAACUUAGCGUUACUUAUCGACCUGGUGUCGAAUUGAGAUUCCAUGUUAGAGACAUGAUGAACUUGUAAACCUUAUGCUAUGAAUUACGCUUGCUUGCCAAUGUGCUCAUUCGCACACGCUUGUGAGGGUCGCGCCCCACAAGCCGGCACUCCGGAGUUAGCCUACGCGACGGAUUGCUCGCUUAUGUACGAGAGACUGAGCGCCGAAGUGGAUUGCCGUGGGUAGUGUUGACUUCCACGGGGCUAUUAGGCACGGCACGAGCUGAGACCUUACCACGUGUAAGUCUUCCGUUAAUUGGGUUAACGUAAGUGACUUUAAUCUUAAAUGGACAUAGUAGUGAGGAUACUUUAUGUCAUUAGUUGAGUAAACCUAGUAAUGACAUACUAGGAGGUUGAUAUCCUUGUUAGUCAGUAGUAUAGUUACAGUACCAGUAGUACAUUUACACUCUUGUUAAUGUAGGGAAAUGCUACAUGAUGACAUUAAUUAAACUAUAAGAAUAGUAUUCUGCAUGAAUCAUGCCAUAUAGAUGAUUAAGCUGAGAAUUAGCAUGACAUAUAAAGCAUGUGUAUGAUGAAUUGGCAUAUAAGACAUGUUAGUAAAUAUAUCUUGUUGAGGCAUAUUUAUAGUUAACUCGCUUUAUUUAUUUGUUGUAUUUACAUUCCUUGUUUGCUGCUACUUACUCAUGCCUUAGUUGACCCAAUGGUGUACUUCGCCACUCUCGGCGGCUUACCCACUGAGAACUAUUGUUUAAUAGUUCUCACACCCUUCUGUUGGUCGUUUUUGUGCAGAGCCUUCCACUGCGAGAAAGGCUAGGGUUCCUGGCAAGAGGUCAGCGGCUAGUUAGAACCUUCUUGAUGUUAAAUAGAUGAAAUCAUACUAGUUUUUCUAGUUGAGUUCAGUGUUGCAUAGUGGGAUUAUAUAGAAUGUACUUUGUACUUUGCUUCUAAGCUAUAUUAAGGUUUUGUAAUUGUAUAAUCUUAUAAACUUCUAAGUUUUUGCUCUGAUUAUCUGGUUAGAAUAUUAUGCUCUUACUAUAUUGUUUGUAGACGCCUGGUGUACACUUGAGGUUCGGGUGUACAUGGCGGGUCUGUGCACGUUACUGUGAGCUUCCGCUGAAGUCUAGGGCAUGACACGUGCACUAGGUGUAUGCAACCGGCCAACUCUCUCUCUGGUACAACCCACCAGAGAGCUUCAACUUUUUGGUUGUACUCACUCUCCAAAAGCACCCCACGUAAUACUAAUAUAAUGCUUACAAAAAACGUACCCAAAUCCUAAUAUAUUUAAGAUUCCUACUCUAAUUAUAUUUAAAUCUAUAUUUAGUUUAUCUCCAAUAGAUUUAAAUAUUUAUCCUAAUAGUUAGAUUCAUAGUCUAAUUAAUAUUUAAAUCUUAAUUUAUCUCCAAUAGAUUUAUUAAUUCUAAUCCAACUAGAAUUAAUCUACAAAUCUAAUCAACUCCUAACAUUCUCCACCUUGGUUGGAUUUAUAGUCUUCAACCCAUGCGUCGAGCUCACCAUGCAAGCUCCAUCUUUAGCUUGUCUCCUCCGCUCGAUGUCGCUGUAUCCGCCGCUCCGUCUCGAGUGAUUGCACCUCCGUGAACUUUUGGAACCCAAACCGCAUUCGCAUCCGUUCUGACUAUGCUUCCAUUCAGAACGUAUAAGUUCCCGCGCUUGUUCGCCUCGCACACAACCCGAUCUCGCUUUUGAACUCUCAUAGCUCCACCUGAAGCUGAAAAUUCGUAGCCCGUCGAGUCCAACGCGCUUAACGAGAUCAAACUGUGCUUCAAUCUAGGAAUGUGCCACACACUUGUCAGCGUCCUCACGACCCCAUCGUGCAUUCGGAUCUUCACAGUGCCGACUCCCAAAACUUUGGACGUCGUUCCGUUUCCCAUCAGAGCUUUUCCUCUCUUAAUCACUUUAUAGGUGGCAAAAUACUUUUUCUUCGGGCAGACAUGAAAGGAACGCGCCGAAUCGAGCACUUGUACAUCAUUCGAAAUUUUCACACCUCUGGUCGCCACAUACAGCACAUCAAAAUCGAUCAUGUUCGAUUCUGCCGCCUGCGCUGUUGCUGAUACUGUCUCGUCUUGGUUCAUGAAUGUUUUCUCAUUCUGUCGCUUUAACUCCUUCGGAUCAUCACGAAAUUUUCGACAAUUUUGCUUGAUAUGCCCUUUCCGAUGACAGUAGAAGCACUCCAUCUCGGAUAGCGGCUUCUUCUGUCGAUCUCCGAUCGCUGAUAUUCUCGCCUCCUUUUUCGCUCUUGCCACCAAAGUAGUAUCCCGGCUCUGCAUGCCGGACUCGUAAGUCAUCUUCUGCAUCUCGUUUGAGAGAAGCGCCGCCGUGACCGCCUCCACACUUAUGGUCUCCUUGCCAUAAAGAAAUGUGGUCACCAUAUGCAUGCUCAUACGCUGUCGAUAGCGAAGAUAAUAAAAUCAGUGCCUUAUCCUCGUCAUCUAGAUUGACUCCAAUACUAGUCAACUGGGCUACCACCUUGUUGAACUCGUUUAGAUGAUCAUGUAGUCUCACCACUUCUUGCAUCCACAACGUAAACAAUCGCUGCUUCAACUAUAACUUGUUCGUUAAGGAUUUGGUCAUAUACAGAUCUUCUAAUUUCUUUCACAAUUUCGCCGACGUCGUCUCGCUGGCUACAUUGUAAAGAAUCUCAUAUGCUAAUAAUAGAUAAAGCGUACUCAACGCCUUCCGCUCUGUCUUUAUCCAUGCCGCAUCCGUGACGUCCACAGGUUUCACCUCCUUCCCGUACAACGUUUCAUCCAAAUCUUGUUGUAUGACGAUUGCCCGUACUUUAAUUUGCCAUAAUCUGAAAUUGUUCUUGCUGUCGAACUUCUCGAUUUCGAAUUUCGUGGCCAUCUCUGUCGAUCUCUCCUGUAAAUCGGUAACCUUCGACUCUGAUACCAAUUGUUGGGAAUCCGGUACCCACCCCGGUACUGAAUUUUGAGAAUCUGCAACCCACUCAGAUACUGACUACUGUGGAUUCGGUACUGAUUGUUGGGAUUCCGUAACGUAAGCGUCAAAUCGAAUUUUUACCAUAAACCCGUGUCCUCAAGAAAAGCUAAUCAUAAAAGAGAGAAAAAAUCAAAACAGAAGAUAUGCGGGUAAAAUAAAAUUCAUUAAAUAAGAGAAAAUUACACCUGACUCCUCUUCUGCAGCAGAGUAGUUACAACCCGAGCCCUCUUUCUGAAUCUCUUAUGCCCUUCUCCCGUCUUUUAUAAACCUAAAAGACAACUCUCUUUCUCUCUCACAUACACUCGUGCACUAAAGUGCAUGCUACCGGCCAACUUUCUCUCUCUCUAUUAACCCACCAAAGAGCUUCAACUUUUUCGCCGUACUCACUCUGCAAAAGCACCCCACAUGGUGCUUAUAUAAUGCUUACAAUAAAACAUACACAAAUUUUAGUAUAUUUAGGAUUCCUACUCUAAUAAAUAUUUAAAUCUAUAUUUAAAUCUAAUUAGAUUUAUACUCUAAUUAAUAUUUAAAUCUUAAUUUAUCUACAAUAAAUUUAAAUAUUAAUUCUUAUCCAACUAGAAUUAAUUUAUAAAUCUAACCAAAUCCUAACAGAAAAAGCAUCUGGUUGAAUGCCCUUGUGACAAAUUAGAGGGUACCUUUAUUAUUUUUAUUGUAUUAUAUGAAUCUAAUUUCAUGAAUCAGCUUCUAAACAAUAGAAAAUAGAUAUUUGCAGAUCUUAUUUCAUUACCACGAAGCAAGAUAAGUAAAAUUCAAAUUUUUGCGACAAUACAAAAAAUAGUUAGGACAUUAUCAAGCCCACCCAUAGUACACAUUGCUCUUACAAAAACUGCAGAAUUUUAUAAGAAAGUAAAAAAAUAUAUAUUAUCUGUAGAAAAGUAGAAAAGUGCUUGUUGUAUUCUUACAAAUAAUAGGGUCCCAAAAUAUUAAAAUUUACUAAUUAUAUAUAUAGGAUGUGAUGCAUAAUGCAUUAUCUUUUUUUUUUGAGAGAGGGAUAGGUAGCACGUUAUCCGGUUCGUUUAUUUCAUUAAGAAAUAAACUUAGCUGAAAAUAUGAAUAACCUAAGAUAGCAGAUCAUGAUAAUGCGUAGUGCAUUAUCAUUUUAUGGUUUAUAAGGAAUGAAAUUUAACUGCCCUAUUUGAUAGCAGAUCUUUAAAAUAAAACAAAAUUAGAAAUAUGGAAUAGUAAAUUACAGCUUUUCACGAAUGGAAAGACUGAAAUUUUAUUAAAAAAAAAAAAAUAAAACUAAGGUUCCUGUUUCAAUUUAAUCAUAUAAAUUAUUCGUAAUUGUUAUAUAUAUAAUACACAAAUUUUGAAGAAACAAUGGAAGGGUAAUUACAUAUUGUUUAGUUAAAAGGGCCUAGCAUCUUGUAACAACAUAGCAGGAUUCCUGUUAUGUUGUGGCAGGCCAGGUUGGUCAUAGUCACGUUCGAAAUGGCGAGACUAUAGAUAGGGGCGGCAAUCUAACUUGUUGUUCGUGAGCUAACUUGUGAUUGGCUCGAAAGGAGCUCGAGAUCAAAUCGCUUGAUUAAUAGGCGAGCUGAACAUGAGCUAAAUUCUUCAGCUCGUUAAAAAAACGAGCAGAGUACGAGCUAAGAUCAGCUUACUCAUGUUUGGCUCGGUAACAUAUCGAAUACAUAUAUUUUAUAUUUACAUAAUUUAUAUAUUUUAUAUUAAUUUUUAUAUAUAAAUAAAUAAUUAUAUAUAUAAUACAAAUUUUUAUUACUUGAUUUUUAGGCCAAGCUAAAUAUGGAGCCCACUGAAUUAUAAAAUGACUUAUUUAUAUGUAAAUUUUCAAUAUUAGAUAAAAAUCUAAUAAGAACGAUCUCAUGAAUUUAUUUUCUAUAUAUAUUCUUUCUAAUUACUUUAGUCUGUUGUUCAUGAGAGAGCUCGUGUUCGGUGCGUUAAUAAACGAGCCGAAUACAAGCUGAUUUUUUCGAUUUGAUAUAUACUAUACGUAAUGAGCUAGCUCUGAUUCGGCUCUUUUAUGAAAUGAGCAGAACACGAGCUGGGUUCAACUUGCACAUGUUUGGCUGGUUGACACCCUUAUUUCAAUUAGCUUGAGAUUUUAAAAUUAAUAAUUAGCAUCAACGAUCCAACGGUUAUAGCAUUGCAGAGGCUUAAUUAAUCUAUAUAAAAUUUGUUCUAAUAAGAUAAUUAGCUAAUUAAAUAAUUAACUUGGCGCUAAAGCUAUAAAUAAGGAACUCGUGCACGUAAGAAGAAUAAGUAGAGAAUAGCAAGGGAGAAUAGGAAUAGCUAGCCAAGGGAGGGAAUAGGAAUAGGAAUAGGAAUAGGCUAAUUCUCGAUCACGGCAACUGCACCCAACCGAGAGCAAGAAAUGACGCCGACACCGAUAUCAGGGCUCUUUGAAGCGCUGGCCCUCCUCGGCGUCGCCACGUUGGUCGGAGUGGCCCAACGAGCUAUACCGAGAUCAUCAACACCACCUCCUCCUAACCCCUCAAAUUCGGAAGAUGCCCAUGCUGCUUUAGAGCGGAAGAAGAAGAUGAUCAGGAUGAUAAUGCUGAUAGUGGUGUUGGCGAUCUGGGCGAUGAUGAUGGUGAAGAUCCAAUCAGUGGCGAGCCAUUCUGUUCUUCUUGAAUUUAACAUAUGUUUUGGUAUCAUUUUAUACAUUUUCUUCGCCAUAUUUAGCCUUUGAGGUUGUUUCAUGCAUGGCUCCUGUUACAAGGAUCUUGAUCUCUCUGUCGAAAAGAAAACUUAAUUUGGAUGAGGGGCACCUUAUUGUUCCUUAUUUGGUGCUCUCUCUUUCUCUCUCCCUCUCUCUCUAGGUCUCUCUUCUGCCUCUUUUUUGGAUAGAAAUUGUAUCGAAGAACAUGUAAAGAGGUUUCAUUGCAACUAAGUAGUUAGUAUCAAUUCAAGUAAUGUACUCCUACAUACUAAGUUGUUCUUUUGUUAUUCUUUUUUGUGUCCUUCUAUA
Molecule: long non-coding RNA, 7746 nt
Organism: Ananas comosus (pineapple)
Lineage: Eukaryota; Viridiplantae; Streptophyta; Magnoliopsida; Poales; Bromeliaceae
Exons: 4
Source: RefSeq, a predicted model, not a curated record